AAAAGAUUUCCAGUCCAGAUGCCUACUGCGUCUGUCCUCUUUUUUAUACGCCCAGCUCCUCUUCCAUUGGAAAAAGGCUGAUAUGUUCAUUAGGCAGAUUUUAAGCGGCUGAUGCCUUUUAGCUCCCCCAGGUCAGGUGUCCCACUUCCCAAAUUAUGGUAACAGCGAUGGUUGACACUUAAGAAUAGGGUCUUUUGAAAAAGAGGCAUUCAAAUGAGGGAGAACACAAACUUUAGUAAAAGUCCAGAUUUUGUCACAAGUUUUGUGAUUCAGAGACUUAGACUUCUGAUCACAAUCAGAACUCUAUUGAUUUGACUCUUUUUUUUCACUUGAUGCUUGGUUGUGUUCUAGAUAAAUGCUCUCUGGAUAAAUGAGCUAUUAUGGUGGUUAUUUAGUGGCUUUUUUCCUGAUAUUUUUCAUGUACUUAAUGAACAUUGUUGUGCAAAUACUUAAAAUUCCUUGAUCUUAGUGUGUACCUACGGUUUUCAUUUUUCUUCUACAAGUAGGACACUGAGUCAUCUAAAAAGUUAGGUUAAUUCCUUAACCUAAAGCCAUUUGAACUGUUGAAGGGAUCAUGAAUAACUCUCAUUUCUUUCUCUUUCAGGUACUUGUCUACAUAAAUUGAUUACUGACAUACCCAUAUAUUGAUUUCUUUUAAAGUAUUUUUUGAAGUAGAGAAAAGGAGCAAGUAGGUAGCACCGAGGGCAAAAUGACAGGCUUUGACUGGGGAGGACCUGGAUUCAAAUGUGACUCAGAUACUUCCUAGCCGUGUGACCCUGGACAAGUCAUUUAACCCAGAUUGCCUAGCCCUUGCCACUAUUCUGUCUUAGAACUGAUACUAAGACAGAAGAGGCAACAAGGAGUCAUUGCAUCUUCCUAAGCAGCUACAAUUUAAAUAUCUGUCACCAGGUAAAAAGUGGUCACUGAGAUAUGGCUAGGAGGUUCAAAAAGGUAGGUUUCCUAUAGCAUGUCGGCCAAUUUUUUUCUAUUAAAAUAUCUAUUAAAAUAAAAGAAAUAUUAUUAAUCACUAAUAUCAUGUUUUGAUAUAAAAU
Molecule: non-coding RNA, 1052 nt
Organism: Monodelphis domestica (gray short-tailed opossum)
Lineage: Eukaryota; Metazoa; Chordata; Mammalia; Didelphimorphia; Didelphidae
Source: RefSeq, a predicted model, not a curated record